Molecule: long non-coding RNA, 1722 nt
Organism: Heterocephalus glaber (naked mole-rat)
Lineage: Eukaryota; Metazoa; Chordata; Mammalia; Rodentia; Bathyergidae
Source: Ensembl
CGGUGAGACCCCAAUAGAGGAAGGACCUUGGACAGCUGUCUGCCAAGGCACAGAAGCAUGUCUUUCUUACUUGAGGAGAAAGAAAACAAACAAACAAACAAAAAGAUCUAAGGAACAGGGAAAGAAAGGUAACCAUGGAGCUUUUUCCAAGGAGCCUAAGACAGCCAUCUCCGCCAGCCGGGAGUGGGAAAGCUGAGCUUUGUUCUGAUGAAGGGAUAGGAGGCUUAUUUGGACCAGAAAAGAAAAAACAAAACAUCAACUGAAUAAUCAGAUGCCUCUGGACUGGCUACAGAAGGCUCUAUCUGGUGCAGUCCAUUCUGCCCGCCUGCUCCCUGCGGAGAUGAGAGGCUCCCCAAGACGGCUGCCUUUCUCCUGAAGUCGGGCUCUUGGCAUGGAGCGGGGCCCUCACGAGAAGGGAUUAGGUGGUCCGGGGCCUGCGUGGCCUUCCCCCUGCCAGCUCUCCAUGGAAUUAAAAUGCCCAGAGCCGAGCUGCCCACUGCGGCCCUGUCCCCAUGCCACCCCCCAGUAAGUCUGUGAUUCCAGGGGGCUCCCAGAGUUGGAAAUGAGAUCGAGGCCAUGGAGACCCGGCUCCUGGGAGAAAACACCCCGAAGAGCAGGGGGAAAAAUAAGCCCCAAGACAAACUUGGUUUCCAAUUAUUUUGCUUAUGGCAAGUUCCAGAAAAGGAAGAGCUUCUUUUGCUUAUAAUGGUCCAAGUGAUACUCUGGCUGGCAGAGAGAAGAUGUCUUCUCUUCCCUGAAGAAAGGACUCCUUCCCCUCCUCCAGUCUAGGGCACACAGCCCUGCCCGGAGUUCCAUGCCAUCUUCCCUUUGCCUGUGUUUUGUGCGAAGGAGCAUUCAAAUGUUGGACAAAACGGCUUUAAUUCAACUUGAUCAUCUUCUGAAAAAGAAAAAAAAAUUAAAGGAAGAAAAAUAAAGGAGGAAGAACAAAAGUUGGGAGAGGCCAGACUAAAUGGAUAUGAUCUGAAUGCAUAUUUGUGUUACAACUAAUACAACCAGCAGCAGAGAGGGACCAAGAUCAAAUAAAUGGUAAAACCUGACAAAGAGAAGAAUAGAUGGUAUGUGGAGCCAUCUGUUUUGGAGGACACCCAAAUCUGUCUGAAUCUGUGAGGCCAAACUACCAGCUAUUCUAAGACGCCCCAUUCCAAGAGUGGCCUAAUGCGUAGCUACACAAUCAGUUUCUCUCACUAUCACUUUGGCUGCAACUUUUUUGUGCAAUUAAGUAAUUUAUUCCUUUCUUCAGCCUCCUGAUUCUAAUGAAUCCGAGCCACAAACAAGCCUCAGUUGCUCCUAUUCAAGGAGUCUGAUUACAUCUGGCAGUGAUUGCUGGAAAUCCUGAAGAGGAAACAGGGAAGGGAAGCAUAUUGUUUGGGGGGGUAAUAGGUGAAGACCUGCCUCUCUUGACCUAUAAUACAUUAGUGUCAGUGAACAUUUGGCAGCCUUCAGAUGAUUAGCAAUGAAGAUGAAUCAAGCAAAAAAGAGGUAGAAAUCUGCCUCAUCUGAAUCGCCAGAACUGCAUACAUUUGCAUGCUGAUUAGCUGUUCUUUUGUCUGUGUUCCUAAUUAUUAUGACACAUUAUGUCUUCAUCAUGCAAGAUUCUGAUCUGUCUUGUUCAAAAUGCAUGUAGAAAAAAGUGCUGUUUAUUGAUUCAACAUGUAACUUUUAUUUUUAUGUUUGCUUUAAUUAAAUACAUAUUUGAUUGCC